RNAcentral lists this ribosomal RNA (443 nucleotides) under uncultured bacterium. RNAcentral's name for it is "partial 16S ribosomal RNA". It matches the Rfam family "Bacterial small subunit ribosomal RNA", at positions 338 to 795 of the family's 1533-position model. The record is from RNAcentral.
CCUACGGGAGGCAGCAGUGGGGAAUAUUGGGCAAUGGGCGCAAGCCUGACCCAGCAACGCCGCGUGAAGGAAGAAGGCUUUCGGGUUGUAAACUUCUUUUCUCAGGGACGAAGCAAGUGCCGGUGCCUGAGGAAUAAGCCACGGCUAAAUACGUGCCAGCAGCCGCGUUAAUACGUAGGUGGCAUGCGUUAUCCGGAUUUACUGGGUGUAAAGGGCGUGUAGGCGGGACUGCAAGUCAAAUGUGAAAACCACGGGCCCAACCUGUGGCCUGCAUUUGAAACUGUAGUUGUGGAGUACUGGAGAGGCAGACGGAAGUCCUAGUGUAGCGGUGAAAUGCGUAGAUAUUAGGCGGAACACCAGUGGCGAAGGCGGUCUGCUGGACAGCAACUGACGCUGAGGCGCGAAAGCGUGGGGAGCAAACAGGAUUAGAUACCCUAGUAGUC